ACUUGGAAUGGAUCUGUUUCUGGAGAUCUCUCUCUGGUGGAGCUUUCCCCUGUGAACCUGGAAUCUUCUGAUAUGGGUAGGACUUUUGGUCCCUUUAUUGCAUAUUCAGUGUUAAAGAAUGAUAACCUUCAGAAUGGCACCUCUUACGACUAUGCUACGGUUAAGUUUUUCGAAUCAACUGAAAGCAAGGAGCCUCUUGGGAGUCCAACAUCUUAGGUCUCUACAACACAAACACACCUGUCUUUGUAACUAUUAAGCCACACACUCAAAAGAUUUAUUUGGAUUUAAUUGCCACCAUCUGCUGACUCACUCUAUGGGGGGAAGGAGGGAACCAAAACUUGCUAUUGUCAGUCCAGUUAGUUUGCUAUGAGAGGGUCUCACAAUUUUUGUUCAGUCUUGAGUCUUUGCUUCAACAAAGAUGACAUUUACCCAGACCUCUGCAUGGUCUGUUUGAAAAAUGACACAGUUGUAAUUCCAAGAGCUCAAAACAUAUCUGAAAAUCUCUCUAUUUUUGUCUUUUUCCUCUCCCAUUCUAUCUGGAUUUGAGAAUCCACUUGGAUAGUGGCUGACGUAAUUCUCACCUGAUGCUUAAAUAACUGCACUAUAAAUUGAAGCGUUUCCAUCUGUUCUUGUGAAUACAACCUAAACUAUCCAUCAUGUGCCAUUUCUUGGAGCUGGGUAGGUUGGCACUAAAAUACUAGAGUGAAAACUACUGCAUUUCAGCAAAUGCUUCAAAAUUUCUGAAAAGGUUCUUGUGUAUGAUCACGGGAGGAAAACUUGAGACCUAUUUAGCUUCAUAUAUGCUGAUCUUUAGACAUCUUGCAGUAAAUUUAACCGAAAGUGGAUUCUUUUAAUGUUUACUAAUUUAAACUCAUUUUCAUUCUUAAACUAUCACAAUUUGAAAAACACCAAAAAUAUUGAGCUGUUAGACGCAUACUCAAAUUAGGAUCUGAAAUAGAAAUUUUCUAGAAUGUUUUUUCUCAACACUGUGGUUGGUUGGUUGGCUUGUUGCUUAGCUCCAUUCAUGUCUACUGUCUUCAAGAGAUUAGCACUCUGAGCUCCAAAAUUUUAUUACCCAGGCUUCUAAAUCUUUUGUCUAUGUAAGAUGUGGUUUCUUAUCCUCCCUAGUUAAGCCGCCAUUGUAAAUUUACAAAGAUAUAUAAAACACAUUAAUUUAUUUAUGCUCUUUUUUUCUACAUUCCUAAUUCUACUACAUAUCUUUUCCUGAAGUGACUCUCUACUUCUGUACCAUCAGGAAAUUUAACCACAUCACUGCAAACUGCUACAAACACAUAAAAGAGAAGUUUCUCAUUUCUGGUACUAAUUCCUGAAGCAACGAAUUAGAUAUCUUUUGGUUUCACUGCAUGAAUAUCCACUACCACCAGAGAGAAGUAUAGUUUAUCACUUCAUGUCCUUAGUUCUACUACUAUUAAGGAUUUUACCGAUUAGUAUUUAGCAAAUUAAUACAGAAAGUAUUCUCCUAAUGCUCCAGGUCAUUUCCUUAUGACUACACUCCAUAGCUCUAAGUUAAUUUUUUUUCUAGUACUUCAGAAAUGCCAAUCAGAUAUUAUGUAUAUAUGUAUGCCAUCCACUUCUAUCAUACUUAACCAGAAUGCGCUGCAUAUUUGUAGGGAUUUCAUCUCAGAUUCUCUGAUUAGCAUUUCUAAAAAAGUAAAGCUUACAGAUCCGAUGUUUUAUGAAUAAGGCCAUUACUCUUUAUCAAUGCUUUCUGAUAAAGUACUGCUGUCAAACUGCAAAGAAACUUUUGGUCAUGCUCAUUCAUCUUUCUGACAGAGGUUGCUGCAAUGUAGUUAGGGAUUAAGUAUCAAAUGUAAACAGAAAUAUUUUUGGAGAAAAACACUUGAACAUAUUUCCAUCAGUUUAGUAUGU
Molecule: long non-coding RNA, 1890 nt
Organism: Gallus gallus (chicken)
Lineage: Eukaryota; Metazoa; Chordata; Aves; Galliformes; Phasianidae
Source: Ensembl